GACGAACCCUGGCGGCGUGCUUAACACAUGCAAGUCGAACGGAAAGGCCCUGCUUUUGUGGGGUGCUCGAGUGGCGAACGGGUGAGUAACACGUGAGUAACCUGCCCUUGACUUUGGAAUAACUUCAGGAGACUGGGGCUAAUACCGGAUAGGAGCUCCUGCUGCAUGGUGGGGGUUGGAAAGUUUCGGCGGUUGGGGAUGGACUCGCGGCUUAUCAGCUUGUUGGUGGGGUAGUGGCUUACCAAGGCUUUGACGGGUAGCCGGCCUGAGAGGGUGACCGGCCACAUUGGGACUGAGAUACGGCCCAGACUCCUACGGGAGGCAGCAGUGGGGAAUAUUGCACAAUGGGCGGAAGCCUGAUGCAGCAACGCCGCGUGCGGGAUGACGGCCUUCGGGUUGUAAACCGCUUUCGCCUGUGACGAAGCGUGAGUGACGGUAAUGGGUAAAGAAGCACCGGCUAACUACGUG
RNAcentral lists this ribosomal RNA (468 nucleotides) under uncultured bacterium. RNAcentral describes it as "partial 16S ribosomal RNA". It matches the Rfam family "Bacterial small subunit ribosomal RNA", at positions 28 to 507 of the family's 1533-position model. The record is from RNAcentral.